This is a long non-coding RNA of Canis lupus familiaris (dog), 707 nucleotides long. RefSeq lists it as uncharacterized. The transcript has 4 exons. The record is from RefSeq and is a predicted model, not a curated record. NCBI's taxonomy places the organism in Eukaryota, Metazoa, Chordata, Mammalia, Carnivora, Canidae.
CGUGCCGUCGCCGCGGUUGGGGGGUGGGGGGGCCGUACCAAGGGGGAAGCCUGGACCGCAGCGCCCGCUCGUAGCGCGCGGCGGCGGUGUGGACGCGCAGGCCGGGGAGAGAACCUAGUGCCGCCCUCGGGAGCAUGGCCCGGAACGCCACCCUUCCUGCCCGCAGCCCUGGGAGCCACUGAGAGCAUGAAAUCUUGGGAAGCAUUUAGUUCGGAGACUGGCUGGUUUUCUACAGUCUCAUUAGAAUCCGUUAUCGCGGACGAGAAAGUGCCAUAAAGAUUUGUGGACAUCAGAUUGCCACCUGCAAGCUGACUCCUUAGACAGCCCGUGCUUCUGCAUUCUUACCUGAAGAGCGAAUGCCCUUCUGGUGCCAUCUUCCUUCUUCAUAGACUCCAUGGAACUGCCAUCAUCUGACCCUUGCUGCCACCUGCUUGCAGAGCCUUGUGCCCCUCUUCACUCACCAGCAGGCUGUCUGCCAGCGGUGUUCCUGACUCAGGGUCUGACCCUAGGUCAGUUCUGCCAAGCUGAUUAGAGGAACUCUUGGACUCUAGCCUGCGUGCACAGACCCUCCAGGUCCGUACUGUCUUCAUCUCCCAACACCAUCCGAAAUUCCUCAGUGUACCCUUCUGGGUCAUCAUAAUGGCCAGUAUCCAUUCAACAGCUUAUUCUUUCUGGAACCAAAUAAAACCCUGGCAUUUGUCCUCCUA